UAUUAACGCCCACGACAUGUAAAACGCCACGCCCAUCUUGAAUACAGAACCACGCCCAUGGUUAAACGCCCACGCUAUAUUUACUUCCUGGAAACUAUAUUUUUAAGCCGACAGAGCAGCUAAUCUACGUCUCCCGUUAUGGUACAUCCAACAUUUGUCAAGGCUGCUCCUGACCCUUCACAUUUUUGCAAGGGUGGUGUCUUUAAAUGCCAGUGCUGCAGUUAUGACACUGACCAGCAAUUUAAAUUCAGGAUAUAUCAACAAAACCACAUCAAGCAGUGGAGCAUGACAGGAUAGUGCAGGUGCUCCUCACUGUCAUUGAGGACUCCUAGAGGCACCUAGAGUGUUGCACAGUUUUGGAGCAUACACAGAAAAAGCACAAUCUCCUUUACGUUUCCGCCUCGUCCUAGGGACAACUAAAAGCCCCUGACUAGCUGACCUCAGUACCCUGGCACAAGAAUAUGGCACUAAAAGCUCUGAAAUAUAUUUUGGUCCAUCACCGUGCACAGCCUGAUAUGUUAAAACCAAAAUUUUAAAAUGAAUCCUAAAAGCAACGGGGAGCCGAUGUAAAGAUGCCAGCACAGGAGUAAUAUGCUCCCUUCGUUUAGUCCCAGUCAGAACCCUAGCAGCUGCAUUUUGGACCAACUGCAGCCGAGUCAUUUCCCUCUGGGUAAGACAUGUAAAUAGCACGUUAAAAUAAUCAAGGCGAGACGAUACAAAAGCAUGGAUAAUCUUCUCUGUGGCCUAAAAGGAAAGCAUUUUUCUGAUUUUGGCUACAUUUCUCAAUUGAAAUUAACAAGCCUGUUCGAGCUUUGUUAUAUGCAUUGAGAAACUCAGUUCAGAAUCAAAAAUUAGACCGAGAUAUCUGGGACAGGGAUUUGACUGUAAAGCCAAUGACCCAAGUUUCUUCCUUAGGUCACUGGCAACACGUUGAGGGCCCAAGACCAAGACUUCUGUCUUUACCUCAUUUAAUUUGAGAAAAUUACAGCUCAUCCAAUCUUUGAUUUCUUAAAUGCAUUCAGUAAGGCAACCUAACCUACUGAAAUCAUUCUUCUUUACAGAGAGAUAGAGCUGUGUAUCGUCCGCAUAUAAAUGAUAACAUGUGUUAAAACGACGAAUCAAGUUCCCUAAGGGAAGCAAGUACAAAGAAAAUAAAAUAGGGCCAAGAAUUGACCCUUGUGGAACUCCACAUGGAAGGUCAGCACAAGAAGACAUCUUUCCUCCAACAGACACUCUAAAACUAAUAUUCAUUAAAUAUGAAGUGAACCAAUCCAUCAAAGGCCCAGAAAUUCCAACCCACUGCUGUAGCCUAUUUAUCAAAAUAUUAUGAUCGACAGUAUCAAAGGCUGCACUAAUAUCCAACAAAACCAAAACAGACACUUCUCCUGCAUCAGCAUUGAUCAAGAGCUCAUUUACACUCUAAGAACAAAUGUGUUAUUUUUUCUACACAUCUACUGUGUUGUGAGCACUGUAACACAUUUUGUGCCAAUUCUUUAACACACACAUGUGUAAUAUGACCCCUAGAAAAUUCACACACUUCUGUGUUAACCUCAGAAGAUACAUUUAUACAGAAAAAAAUGGUGAUUGAAUUUUACUUAACCUCUUAACAGGCCAUCGCCUCAGUCUAGUUGGUGGUCAGGAUGGAGGUUUCAGCGAUAUUGAACCAAGACACUGCAAUUUUUCAAGUUCUUGCCCACAUCUACAGGGAUGAGAGAUAAUAUUUAAGGAAGAUUUAUGAUGUUCGCAACACUGAGCAUCUUAAAAUGUAAGAACUCUGAAAUUCAACCCACAGUUUGAAUUUAUUUAUUUAUUGACGUAGAUAGAAUUUAUUGACAUAGAUAGCAAUGUAGACAUCAGUAACUUGGAUAGAUUCCAGCUGUUCUUAUCAUACAAAGAGACUGAAUCGUCCCAGCCUAUGGCCACUGCAGUGUGCCAAGCUCAGCAUACUCAAGAUUCACAAGAGCAUGAAAAACUGAGGUCCCUUUUGGAAAAGAAAGCACGAGACACUGGAUGAACCAGGCACUGUGACAGAAAAAGCAAGAAUAAAGCUUGUUAAAGUGUGUGGAUCUGACCUGGUAAAAAAGCAUGAAUUUUAUCCAACAAGUACUGAAAAAGUGGCUCUAGCAAAGAACAUCAUCGCUGUCCAGGUAGAUGGAAAAGGGGAAGGAUUUGAGCACUUUUAUGAUCCAGAUUUUCAUUCUGGAUUUUUGGUAAUGAGACUGCACAACGUUCGUCGAAAGCUAGAAGAUGGUCAGCGGCGUUAUAGGUCACACAAACGAUGCAGUGAAGAUGGACUUUCUUCGGACAAGGAGGAGGAAGAUGGUAGUGGGACAACUGAGUGGAUCAACUUGAUGAAAAGGUUCAGGUCUUCUACAGACAACAUUUCUUCGAUCAAGCAGCAGUGCAGAAAUCCUUCACCUGGCGCAGAUCAUGGAUAGCCAAACAUUCCCCCUCCCUGUCUGAAAUCUUUGAGGAAUACCAACACUUCUUGGAUAUGCCAUCUCUGGUAGCUUGAUACAGAGUUUGGUAAAAUGUAUGAGGGAAGCGAAGAUUUGUUCUUAAGAAGAUGGGAGGCUACCAUCAUUCCCAAGUUGAAGGCAAUUGCCAUCAUGGAGACAGGUGAUCUUGCAUCUCUUAAGGACAUGGAACACCAGAAUAAAGGCUGGAAGCAGCAUUGCUUCUCUUUGUGAUGACUGUUCUUCACAGACCCACCAGCCCCAGCUAAUCUGUGUUGGAAAUCUGAGGGCUGCCGCAAAGCAACAUGUCAUCUUUGGACAGAGUGACUGAAUUACUAUUUCCCUUGAAGAAGGACUGACAUCUGCUGUGGACAAGCUAUUUAAGCUCUACUGGGUGUGUAACCUGGCCUAUCAAUGUCAGCUAAGCUCCAUGUUCUGCUUCUUUGAACACAUCUAUGACGUGCCUCUCUCAACUAGCCGGAAAGCUAAGGUACUGAACCUCAUUUCGAAGCUUAAAGCAUCACAAUUUACAGCACAUUUGUCCAGAAUGUCGACAGUCACAAUUCACAGAAGUAAAGAAGCUAAUUUGGCAUCUUCGUGAAAUACAUGCAUUGUCAAAGGGACUGAACUUCACUCUCAUUUGCAGCCAGGAUGGUUGUGGUUGGACUUACCACAACAUCAAAUCAUUUACUAAGCAUCUUUACAGAUCACCAGUUAAAAUGUACCACCGUGCACUAUUUGUUACUUCACAUACUGUACUUGGCCAAACAUAUAGAACAGGUAGUGUGCUGCCACUUAAAACCAAACACUGUGGAGAAUGUUUGUUUGGUGAGAUAACUCGCAUCAUACCACAGGCUGAUGCUGAGUCCUUUUUGAUGUUUAUCUGGAUUCUUUCAAUUGAGUACUUUGAUGAGCAUUUUUAUGCAUAUGUCAAGCGAACUAAUGACUAAUGAUCAGCUUGGAUGAUGCUUCAGAUGUUAGGCCUCUUGAUGUACUAGCCAUUUCCAACACAGACAAGCUGUACUUGAAUCCAAGAUCCAAAUUGUUUAGCCUCAUGUUUUGUAGUUCUGUUUUUAUAAAAAGGGAAUUUUACUUCUGUACUGAUGUUCAAUGUUAAAUUCAUCAGGUUUUGUAAAAAUACGUGAGAACAGUGAACAAUUGUGACUAAUUUUAUAUGAGCUAUGUUUUAUACAUCCCUUUACUGUUUGGACUUUUGUUUUUAGGUGUUCAUUACUUAUCACAAAAGACAAUGAAUUAGUUACAAGCAUGCAUGUUUUUACAUUUAAAAUAUCUAAAAAACAUUGUUUUUUUUGUGUUAAUUUAUUACUUAUUCCAAAUGAAAAUAAUUUUGAACUGUAAAAAACAUAACUGAUUUUACAUUUAAAAUGUUACAAACACGUGAAUGUUAAUUCAUCGCUAAUUCCAAAAGAAAAUUGAACCAUAU
This is a long non-coding RNA of Astyanax mexicanus (Mexican tetra), 3900 nucleotides long. RefSeq lists it as uncharacterized. NCBI's taxonomy places the organism in Eukaryota, Metazoa, Chordata, Actinopteri, Characiformes, Acestrorhamphidae. The transcript has 9 exons. The record is from RefSeq and is a predicted model, not a curated record.